CACAGGUGUCAGAUCAGCCAUGAAAGACGGAACGCACAGCAUGUUGGACUGUGGGACUCUAUCAGAGCUAUAUCGCUAAGCAGCUGAGUGUGGUGUGUGAUAAGGUUGCCAAGGGAAACGCCUUUUCCCUGCUGGAGCUGGGAGAUCUGGGCUACCCAGAAUCCAGUUGUGAUAGCUGUCCCAGGUAGCCAUUUAUAAUAAAGGGUAUCUGUAAGUAGGCCAUCUAUAAAUAGCAUUUAUAGACCUAUUUAUAGACCUAAAGGCCAAGCAUACCUGGAAUUCCUUCUGCCCUUGCCUCAUUUCUCAGUGCCAGGCUCUAGAGGAAGAGAGGUGGUUCUGAACAUGUUUUAACAGCAAGUUGAAACUCCCUCCCCUUCUGCUUUUACACGCCCAUAUUGCCUUUUGAUUUACUUCCCAAACUCUCCACCAACUAUUUUAGGGUGAUGACCACAACUUACAUUUAAAAGUAACAAUAGCAUGAAAUACAUUCCUCCCCAGUAAUCAGGGAACCUUGAAACCAGAUCCCCCCUGCCCGCCCCCUUCAUUUCUCCCUCAUGCUGUUCCCUGUUCACAUGCUGAGGUUCCCUGCUGGUGCUGCUGUUAUGGUUGACAUCCCUCCUCCCAGCUUGCCUUCCCUCUGCUUCUCUACAGAACUCAGACCUUCUCUAUUUAAGUUCUGACUCAAAUGUUGUGUCCUUUUUGAAGUUCUUUCCUGGUAGUGAUUUUUCUUUUCCCAUUGUAUUUAAUCUCCUUUACAGAUGGUUUUUCUGUCUUGUGUUACUCUUGCACGUGACUUAUUGCCCUUAGUUCUAAGUUCCUUGAUAGUGUUAAUUUAUUCUUGCAUGUCUAGAGCAAUUAACACAGUGCCUUGUUUCUAUAUAUAGUAUUUGUAUUUAACGAACUAAUAAAUGAAGAAUAGAACCUCUUAUAAAACUUGCUUGUAUAAAGCACAAAAGUUGGAAAAUAUCCUGAGCGAAAACUUGAAAGAAAACCAUGGUGCCUGUCAGUUUUCCGUGUUCUUUGUAUGGAAUUGUGCUUCAAACCCAGGAGAACUUCCUAGAGCAUGUGGGCCUUCUCAAAGAAGCCCUACUGCACUCAGUUGGCCUUGCAUUUCACAGUUAUGGUGGACUGAACCUGAGGCCUAGGUGGUAAGAUUAAAGUCAACAGGAUUAAGCGUUCUUCUCCCUGUGCCAAUUUAUGACAUGUAGAACUUCCCUGUGGGCUUCCUUUUUGUGUUGGCACUGGAUGAGAAUGUUCUCUGAAGACUGUUCAGUGCCCAUAAGAGGCAAGGGACCCCUGCUGCAGCCCCAGCUGAGACUGUUCAGGACACCAGGAGUUUGGAAGCUUUGCUUCUUUUAAAUGAUUAUUCUCAGUAGCUUCAGCCUUUCAAGGGAGCUGUGAUCCAUCCCAGCUAAAAAUAGACUCCACAUUCACUCCUUCAGUUCCUGGCUCAAUGAAAUGUCUUUUGCUCUGUCCCCCCAUCUGCAUAGCCUGGCAUCCUGGGGCAGUGCUGCUAGCCAUAAACAGACAACCAAAACACACAGAGGUGCUGGACUCUCUUCCCAGGACCCCCAAGAAGGGACACCAUAUCACCUCCCACACAUUAGAAGGGUUCCUAUCAAAAUGCCAGGAAAUAACAGGGAUAAAGAGGGUGUGGGGAAACUCACAGGGACUGCAAAAGGGUGCAGCAGACAAGGACAGCAGAUGGUGAUGUGGUGCUGUCAGGCCAUGGACUGUACCCCAAAUUCACAAGAGAAGCAUGAACCUCACUGUGACUGUGCCUGGACAGGGGGCCAUAGGAGAUCCUCACCCUACAACAGAAGCGUGAGCCCUCUACCCACUGGGCACCUCUGGUUUGCCUCUCUGUUCUUUCUGUAUCUUUUUAACUGCUUUCAUAACUUAUUUGUUCUACCAGCUGCUUAAGAUUUUUUUAGCUAACUCAUAACUAAUUUUGAGGUGUUUAUGUGAAUGACUAUUAUUCCUCUCAAAUAGCAAUUAAAAUAUACUUUAAUAAAAUAUUUUAAAAUGCCUCCUUCUUCCACAAGGAGAAACUAGUAUUUCUUUUUCUAGAAGCAUUGGAAGAAAUGUCCCCAGCCUCACUCUGAAAUUACACUGGUCUUGAAUGUUUUUGCUUUGUUCUUUUGAUUUCUGAUUUUCCCUGAAGAAAACCGG
RNAcentral lists this long non-coding RNA (2172 nucleotides) under Marmota monax (woodchuck). The record is from RNAcentral. Lineage: Eukaryota; Metazoa; Chordata; Mammalia; Rodentia; Sciuridae.